This 253-nucleotide ribosomal RNA is filed under the name uncultured bacterium. RNAcentral's name for it is "partial 16S ribosomal RNA". It matches the Rfam family "Bacterial small subunit ribosomal RNA", at positions 524 to 776 of the family's 1533-position model. The record is from RNAcentral.
UACAGAGGUCUCGAGCGUUAGGCGGAAUCACUGGGCUUAAAGCGUGUGUAGGCGGAUCGUUAAGUACCUUGUGAAAUCCCACGGCUUAACCGUGGAACUGCUUGGUAUACUGGCGGUCUUGAGCCAGCUAGGGGCUACCGGAACAAAUGGUGGAGCGGUGAGAUGCGUAGAUAUCAUUUGGAACGCCAAUGGUGAAAACAGGUAGCUGGGGCUGUGCUGACGCUGAGACACGAAAGCCAGGGGAGCAAACGGG